RNAcentral lists this non-coding RNA (186 nucleotides) under Veillonella sp. Lineage: Bacteria; Bacillati; Bacillota; Negativicutes; Veillonellales; Veillonellaceae. The record is from RNAcentral.
AAAGAUCUUAGUGUUGUAAGUGUCGGGUAUGCCGAGCGAUUUAAGAGGAAAAUAGGUGCAAAUCCUAUGCUGGAAACAGCUGUAAAUGAGGAGUUUAUUUCAACAAGGAGUCACUGGGAAACUGGGAAGGCUGGAAAUAAACGAUGAAUCAUGAGCCAGAAAGCCUGCUUAUAACAAAUUGACUGU